UGUCUCCUUUUUCUGAUCAGUAAAACUAAUCUCCCCGUGAAGAAGCGGAGAUAUAAAUAUAAGACGAGAAGACCCCAUGGAGCUUAAAACCCAACUACACCCUUAAUUAUUAUACCUUUUAUAACCUCUAAGGCCCUGUAUAACUGGUUUUAGGUUGGGGCGACCACGGAGAACAACAAAACCUCCACAAUGAAUGGGACCACCCCCUUAUCUAAGAGCAACCGCUCUAAGAAUUAAAAUAUUAACAUAAAAUGAUCCAUUUUUUGAUCAAUGAACCAAGUUACCCUGGGGAUAACAGCGCAAUCCAUUUCAAGAGCCCAUAUCGACAAAUGGGUUUACGACCUCGAUGUUGGAUCAGGGUGUCCCAGUGGUGCAGCAGCUACUAAUGGUUCGUUUGUUCAACGAUUAAAANNG
Molecule: ribosomal RNA, 414 nt
Filed under: Mantidactylus ambohimitombi
Lineage: Eukaryota; Metazoa; Chordata; Amphibia; Anura; Mantellidae
Description: partial large subunit ribosomal RNA
Rfam family: Bacterial large subunit ribosomal RNA
Source: RNAcentral